CACGGGGGUUGCGAGCGUUAUCCGGAAUUAUUGGGCGUAAAGAGUGCGUAGGUGGUUUUGUAAGCGCGGGGUGAAAGGCUAUGGCUCAACCAUAGUAAGCCCUGCGAACUGUAAGACUUGAGUGCAGGAGAGGAAAGCGGAAUUCCUAGUGUAGCGGUGAAAUGCGUAGAUAUUAGGAGGAACACCAGUGGCGAAGGCGGCUUUCUGGACUGUAACUGACACUGAGGCACGAAAGCGUGGGGAGCAAACAGG
RNAcentral lists this ribosomal RNA (252 nucleotides) under uncultured bacterium. RNAcentral's name for it is "partial 16S ribosomal RNA". It matches the Rfam family "Bacterial small subunit ribosomal RNA", at positions 524 to 776 of the family's 1533-position model. The record is from RNAcentral.